This is a long non-coding RNA of Vanessa tameamea, 1325 nucleotides long. RefSeq lists it as uncharacterized. The record is from RefSeq and is a predicted model, not a curated record. NCBI's taxonomy places the organism in Eukaryota, Metazoa, Arthropoda, Insecta, Lepidoptera, Nymphalidae. The transcript is spliced from 3 exons.
AUUCAUGUCUCCAUCGAUAACAUCGUAACCUCUGACUUCUUUUUGUAUUAUCGCGUUGUUUAGUGGACACCGCUACUUGAGGCCGGACUUCGUGCGAAGUGCUGAAAACAAGUGUCAUUUCAAUCGUUGGACGAUAUACGUUAACUGUGAAUAAUGUGUGCAAAGUGAAUUUAUAUUGUGAUUAUCAGUCGUUGAUGAUGGAAUUUUACAUACAGUAGCGAGCUGAUAACUAUUUUCCUGGCGAAUGAAAAAUAAUCUAAUUACUUCAAGAGAAGUACCUUAAGCAGCGGAGGUGUUUAUUCGGAGAGGCGCGAGGCUGCCGAGGUGGCUGAGUCAGCAGCAAGCAUGAUGUCAUAUGGCAUGCGGAUAAUUGGAGCGUCCCGGCGCACGUCACAUCCCAUUCCCGCCGCAUACUUCACCCAAUCGAGCGAUGACAAAUCCAUUCAUAUUACCCACUCUAUUGUGCGUUACAGCUCUGUUUAGAAUUAAUUUAUCCUACACUGUAUUUGCCUUAUUUGUAUGUUAUUAUGUGAUAUAUUUACCUUAAGCGAAUUGUACGAAAUACGUGAAUCUAGAAACGAAGACUACGUCGAUAUUCGAAGAACCAGAAGAAUCGAAGAUAAAGAAGAAAAUAAGAUUUACGAAACUGGUUUUCAUAAUGGUUUGACAGAUUGUUCUAUAUUCUGAGAUCAUUGUGAAAGCUGAUUUUGUUCCUAAAUCGAUUCAUUUAUGUCGUCGGGAAUCAACGCAGCGCGAACACUUGAAGAUAGACACCACAUCGAGCUAUGUACACCAGACUUCAGUUCACACGUUUGAUACAUUAAAAUGCACUUGUAUACAUAAUAGUUGAACUAAUUGACGUUGCAGAGGGCACGAUCAAUUAGUUCGAUUAAUGUGUAUUUUUAACGCUAUUUUAAUGAUAAAUGUUGUUUAUAUACCAUUAAUUACUAUUACAUGUAUAUUUCCUAUUAUAGCUGAGUAAAUAUUAUUUUUUACGUGAUUGUCUCGUAAAAUGUUUUUUGGGUGCAUGUCUAUUUGUUAACUUUAUUUAAUUCAACAUAAACUACAUUUUUUCAGAGAUCCUAUUGGUUUCUUUUGAAUAACGUGAAUGUAUAUUUCAUUAUUUGUUUACCUGUACUUGAUUUUUAUGUCUUUUUUGUAUUUCUGAUGCACGUGUACUAAUAAAAAUUUACUUACAGUUUACAACAAAAAUCAAAUGUAGCUGUGUUUUUUUUCUAGACGAGUGUGCUCUUAUUAAAGUUCCGAAACAACUUUACGUGAACGAAAUAUAAAAAGAAACGAUUUUAUCACCAACAUAUUUCUAA